GAGUAGGGCGGGACACGUGGUAUCCUGUCUGAAUAUGGGGGGACCAUCCUCCAAGGCUAAAUACUCCUGACUGACCGAUAGUGAACCAGUACCGUGAGGGAAAGGCGAAAAGAACCCCGGCGAGGGGAGUGAAAAAGAACCUGAAACCGUGUACGUACAAGCAGUGGGAGCACCUUCGGGUGUGACUGCGUACCUUUUGUAUAAUGGGUCAGCGACUUAUAUUCUGUAGCAAGGUUAACCGUAUAGGGGAGCCGCAGGGAAACCGAGUCUUAACUGGGCGUUAAGUUGCAGGGUAUAGACCCGAAACCCGGUGAUCUAGCCAUGGGCAGGUUGAAGGUUGGGUAACACUAACUGGAGGACCGAACCGACUAAUGUUGAAAAAUUAGCGGAUGACUUGUGGCUGGGGGUGAAAGGCCAAUCAAACCGGGAGAUAGCUGGUUCUCCCCGAAAGCUAUUUAGGUAGCGCCUCGUGAAUUCAUCUUCGGGGGUAGAGCACUGUUUCGGCUAGGGGGUCAUCCCGACUUACCAACCCGAUGCAAACUACGAAUACCGAAGAAUGUUAUCACGGGAGACACACGGCGGGUGCUAACGUCCGUCGUGAAGAGGGAAACAACCCAGACCGCCAGCUAAGGUCCCAAAGUCAUGGUUAAGUGGGAAACGAUGUGGGAAGGCACAGACAGCCAGGAUGUUGGCUUAGAAGCAGCCAUCAUUUAAAGAAAGCGUAAUAGCUCACUGGUCGAGUCGGCCUGCGCGGAAGAUGUAACGGGGCUAAACCAUGCACCGAAGCUGCGGCAGCGACACUAUGUGUUGUUGGGUAGGGGAGCGUUCUGUAAGCCUGCGAAGGUGACCUGUGAGGGUUGCUGGAGGUAUCAGAAGUGCGAAUGCUGACAUAAGUAACGAUAAAGCGGGUGAAAAGCCCGCUCGCCGGAAGACCAAGGGUUCCUGUCCAACGUUAAUCGGGGCAGGGUGAGUCGACCCCUAAGGCGAGGCCGAAAGGCGUAGUCGAUGGGAAACAGGUUAAUAUUCCUGUACUUGGUGUUACUGCGAAGGGGGGACGGAGAAGGCUAUGUUAGCCGGGCGACGGUUGUCCCGGUUUAAGCAUGUAGGCUGGUUAUCCAGGCAAAUCCGGAUAAUCAAGGCUGAGGUGUGAUGACGAGGCACUACGGUGCUGAAGUAACAAAUGCCCUGCUUCCAGGAAAAGCCUCUAAGCAUCAGGUAACAUCAAAUCGUACCCCAAACCGACACAGGUGGUCAGGUAGAGAAUACCAAGGCGCUUGAGAGAACUCGGGUGAAGGAACUAGGCAAAAUGGUGCCGUAACUUCGGGAGAAGGCACGCUGGUGUGUAGGUGAAGUCCCUGCGGAUGGAGCUGAGACCAGUCGAAGAUACCAGCUGGCUGCAACUGUUUAUUAAAAACACAGCACUGUGCAAACACGAAAGUGGACGUAUACGGUGUGACGCCUGCCCGGUGCCGGAAGGUUAAUUGAUGGGGUUAUCCGUAAGGAGAAGCUCUUGAUCGAAGCCCCGGUAAACGGCGGCCGUAACUAUAACGGUCCUAAGGUAGCGAAAUUCCUUGUCGGGUAAGUUCCGACCUGCACGAAUGGCGUAAUGAUGGCCAGGCUGUCUCCACCCGAGACUCAGUGAAAUUGAACUCGCUGUGAAGAUGCAGUGUACCCGCGGCAAGACGGAAAGACCCCGUGAACCUUUACUAUAGCUUGACACUGAACAUUGAGCCUUGAUGUGUAGGAUAGGUGGGAGGCUUUGAAGCGUGGACGCCAGUCUGCGUGGAGCCAACCUUGAAAUACCACCCUUUAAUGUUUGAUGUUCUAACGUUGGCCCCU
Molecule: ribosomal RNA, 1839 nt
Filed under: Klebsiella pneumoniae
Lineage: Bacteria; Pseudomonadati; Pseudomonadota; Gammaproteobacteria; Enterobacterales; Enterobacteriaceae
Description: partial 23S ribosomal RNA
Rfam family: Bacterial large subunit ribosomal RNA
Source: RNAcentral